CCGAGUUUACAACUCCCAAACCCUAUGUGAACCUUACCUUUUGUUGCUUCGGCGGGAUCGCCCUGGCGCUUCACGGCGCCGGAUCUCAGGCGCCCGCCGGAGGCCCAAAACUCUUGUUUAUUUAUGUUUCCUCUCCGAGUGGCACAAGCAAAAUAAAUCA
This 160-nucleotide unclassified non-coding RNA is filed under the name uncultured Hypocreales. RNAcentral's name for it is "sequence contains ITS1". Lineage: Eukaryota; Fungi; Ascomycota; Sordariomycetes; Hypocreales. The record is from RNAcentral.